UCCAGACUCCUACGGGAGGCAGCAGUGAGGAAUAUUGGUCAAUGGGCGGGAGCCUGAACCAGCCAAGUCGCGUGAGGGACGACGGUCCUAUGGAUUGUAAACCUCUUUUGUCGGGGAACAAAGGCGCCCACGGGUGGGCGGAUGAGUGUACCCGAAGAAAAAGCAUCGGCUAACUCCGUGCCAGCAGCCGCGGUAAUACGGAGGAUGCGAGCGUUAUCCGGAUUUAUUGGGUUUAAAGGGUGCGUAGGCGGACAGUCAAGUCAGCGGUAAAAAUGCGGUGCUCAACGCCGUACAGCCGUUGAAACUGGCGGUCUUGAGUGGGCGAGAAGUAUGCGGAAUGCGUGGUGUAGCGGUGAAAUGCAUAGAUAUCACGCAGAACUCCGAUUGCGAAGGCAGCAUACCGGCGCCCGACUGACGCUGAGGCACGAAAGCGUGGGUAUCGAACAGGAUUAGAUACCCCUGUA
RNAcentral lists this ribosomal RNA (464 nucleotides) under uncultured bacterium. RNAcentral's name for it is "bacterial SSU rRNA". It matches the Rfam family "Bacterial small subunit ribosomal RNA", at positions 330 to 792 of the family's 1533-position model. The record is from RNAcentral.